Molecule: ribosomal RNA, 459 nt
Filed under: uncultured bacterium
Lineage: Bacteria
Description: partial 16S ribosomal RNA
Rfam family: Bacterial small subunit ribosomal RNA
Source: RNAcentral
CCUACGGGAGGCAGCAGUGAGGAAUAUUGGUCAAUGGUCGGGAGACUGAACCAGCCAAGCCGCGUGAGGGAUGAAGGUACAGAGUAUCGUAAACCUCUUUUGUCAGGGAACAAAGGCGGGGACGUGUCCCCGGAUGAGUGUACCUGAAGAAAAAGCAUCGGCUAACUCCGUGCCAGCAGCCGCGGUAAUACGGAGGCUGCGAGCGUUAUCCGGAGUUAUUGGGUUUAAAGGGUACGCAGGUGGUCUGUUAAGUCAGCGGUAAAAGCCCGGGGCGCAACCCCGGCCCGCCGUUGAAACUGGCAGUCUCGAGUUGGAGAGAAGUAUGCGGAAGGCGCGGUGUAGCGGUGAAAUGCAUAGAUAUCGCGCAGAACUCCGAUUGCGAAGGCAGCAGGCCGGCUCCACACUGACGCUGAGGCACGAAAGCGUGGGUAUCGAACAGGAUUAGAUACCCUUGUAGUC